AGCAUCCUCCGGCGGGGGCCCUGCCUGGCGCCGCGGCGAGCCGGGGCUGCCGCGGGGCGGGCGGGCGAGCGGCACCUCCAGCGCUCUGUGUCCGCGCAUCGCCCCGGCUUUUAUUUAACGCGGCCGAGCUCAGCUUGGCUCCUCCCCUUCUCGGAAAACAUGUGGCUACGUUCACUUUCGCUUUAGCAACGGCUUGGUGGCCCUGAGCCAGCCGUAGCUCUGGCUCCAGAGAAUGCCCCGCGGGCUCCCCGCCCCGCCGCUGGGGAUGCUCUUCAACCUCACUUCUUAUAUCCGACUACGUCUGGGUUUAUUCUUUUAUUGCUUUUUUUUUUUCCCCCACAGCCCCGGCGGAGCAGGCGGUGGCCGCGGGUAGGGUCGAGAGGUGCUGCGGGGCAAAUCCGAGCACGGGAGCGCUCUGAGGCUCCAGGGAGGCCAGGGGACACUAGAGGUGGACAGUGUUGAUGAUAUUCCUGGUGCUCUCACAGUUCCAGAUGCAAAUGCUGAGCUUCUAUUGAAGGAAGAACAGUGGAACUGGAGAGUGAAUGGAGCCAGCCCAGCUGCACUUGAAAAACGUCUGCCCAAAGCUGUUUGUUGUGAAUCCAUGCCUGGUGUCCCUCUGCAGAGCAGCACAAGGCCAGCUCUUCCUCCAGCUGUGAUUUUUGCUUUUUCUUUCUGA
Molecule: long non-coding RNA, 676 nt
Filed under: Cyanistes caeruleus (blue tit)
Lineage: Eukaryota; Metazoa; Chordata; Aves; Passeriformes; Paridae
Description: lncRNA (ENSCCEG00000008811.1)
Source: RNAcentral